GAUGAACGCUGGCGGCGUGCCUAAUACAUGCAAGUCGAGCGAACAGAUGAGGAGCUUGCUCCUCUGACGUUAGCGGCGGACGGGUGAGUAACAAGUGGAUAACCUACCUAUAAGACUGGGAUAAAUUCGGGAAACCGGUGCUAAUACCGGAGAAUAUAGUGAACCGGAUGGUUCAAUAGUGAAAGACGGUUUUGCUGUCACUUAUAGAUGGAUUCGCGCCGGAUUAGCUAGUUGGUAAGGUAACGGCUUACCAAGGCAACGAUGCGUAGCCGACCUGAGAGGAGGAUCGGCCACACUGGAACUGAGACACGGCCCAGACCCCUACGGGAGGCAGCAGUAGGGAAUAUUCCGCAAUGGGCGAAAGCCUGACGGAGCAACGCCGCGUGAGUGAUGAAGGUCUUCGGAUCGUAAAGCACUUUUAUCAGGAAAGAACAAAUGUGUAAGUAACUGUGCGCGUGUUGACGGUACCUGAUCAAAAAGCCACGGCUAACUACGUG
RNAcentral lists this ribosomal RNA (497 nucleotides) under uncultured bacterium. Its description in RNAcentral is "partial 16S ribosomal RNA". It matches the Rfam family "Bacterial small subunit ribosomal RNA", at positions 28 to 507 of the family's 1533-position model. The record is from RNAcentral.